Sebastes umbrosus (honeycomb rockfish) is the source of this 335-nucleotide small nucleolar RNA. Lineage: Eukaryota; Metazoa; Chordata; Actinopteri; Perciformes; Sebastidae. The record is from RefSeq and is a predicted model, not a curated record.
CCCGCAUGAUGAUAUCAUGGCAAGUUUGAUGAUCCAGUCAGACCAGGAGAUUAUGGCCUCGAGCCUGCUGUUAGAUGGGUAAUCUUGGUGGUGUGAUGGAGUUUUAUUGCACUGCUGUAAGGGCCCAUCCACAGUUAAAUUGACACCUUCUACAACCUCUGCCCCCCCAAGAGCAAUGGGGUGGGACAGGUAGGAGAUGUCAAACAAUGUGUGGAUGUUUGUUUGUCUUGGUGUGUGUUGCUGUAUGGGUGUAAAUGUAUCAGCUGGCAAGAGGUUACAGUCUCAAUAUAGUUGGUUUGGCAAGAAUGAGCUACAGUCUUUGGUAAACUGAGGGC